This 181-nucleotide transfer RNA is filed under the name Thermococcus hydrothermalis. Its description in RNAcentral is "ribosomal RNA". The stretch from base 45 to 118 matches the Rfam family "tRNA". The record is from RNAcentral. Lineage: Archaea; Methanobacteriati; Methanobacteriota; Thermococci; Thermococcales; Thermococcaceae.
AAAUCCGUCCGGGGGGUCUAAGGGAUGUCUGGCCUGCCAUCCGUGGGCCGGUAGCUCAGCCUGGGAGAGCGUCGGCUUUGCAAGCCGAAGGCUCCGGGUUCGAAUCCCGUCCGGUCCUCCACGAAGAGGUGCACAUCCCGAUCUCCGCUCGGGUUGGAAGGGUCCUAGGCCCCGAACAGGG